GGUGUAGGCGGCGGCGUAAGUGUGCUGUGAAAGCCCACGGCUCAACCGUGGAACGGCAGCGCAUACUGCGUCGCUUGAGGCCGGCAGAGGUGCCUGGAACUCUCGGUGGAGCGGUGAAAUGCGUAGAUAUCGAGAGGAACGCCAGAGGCGAAAGCGGGGCACUGGGCCGGUUCUGACGCUGAGACCCGAAAGCGUGGGGAGCAAACAGGAUUAGAUACCCUGGUAGUCCACGCCCUAAACGAUGCACACUAGGCGUCGGAGCUUCUGAAAGUCUCGGCGCCGGAGAAAAAUUGUUAAGUGUGCCGCCUGGGGAGUACGGCCGCAAGGCUAAA
RNAcentral lists this ribosomal RNA (332 nucleotides) under uncultured bacterium. RNAcentral describes it as "bacterial SSU rRNA". It matches the Rfam family "Bacterial small subunit ribosomal RNA", at positions 568 to 898 of the family's 1533-position model. The record is from RNAcentral.